UACAGAGGGUGCAAGCGUUAAUCGGAAUUACUGGGCGUAAAGCGCGCGUAGGUGGUUUGUUAAGUUGGAUGUGAAAUCCCCGGGCUCAACCUGGGAACUGCAUUCAAAACUGACAAGCUAGAGUAUGGUAGAGGGUGGUGGAAUUUCCUGUGUAGCGGUGAAAUGCGUAGAUAUCGGGAGGAACACCAGUGGCGAAGGCGACUACCUGGCCCAUUCUUGACGCUGAGGCGCGAAAGCUAGGGGAGCAAACGGG
Molecule: ribosomal RNA, 253 nt
Filed under: uncultured bacterium
Lineage: Bacteria
Description: partial 16S ribosomal RNA
Rfam family: Bacterial small subunit ribosomal RNA
Source: RNAcentral